Molecule: ribosomal RNA, 469 nt
Filed under: uncultured Coxiellaceae bacterium
Lineage: Bacteria; Pseudomonadati; Pseudomonadota; Gammaproteobacteria; Legionellales; Coxiellaceae
Description: bacterial SSU rRNA
Rfam family: Bacterial small subunit ribosomal RNA
Source: RNAcentral
UACAGAAGAAGCACUGGCUAACUCUGUGCCAGCAGCCGCGGUAAUACAGAGAGUGCAAGCGUUAAUCGGAAUUACUGGGCGUAAAGCGCACGUAGGUGGAUAUUUAAGUCGGAUGUGAAAGCCCCAAGGCUUAACCUGGGAAUUGCAUCCGAUACUGGAUGUCUCGAGUAUGGUAAAGGGAAGGGGAAUUUCCGGGGUAGCGGUGAAAGGCGUAAAUAUCGAAAAAAACACCAGGGGCGAAGGCGGUUUCCUGGACCAAUACUGACACUGAGGUGCGAAAGCGGGGGGAGCAAACAGGAUUAAAAACCCUGGUAGUCCACGCCGUCAACAAUAAGAACUAGCUGUUGGAAAGCUAACUUUCCAGUAGCGAAGCUAACGCGUUAAGUUCUCCGCCGGGGAAGUACGGCCGCAAGGUUAAAACUCAAAGAAAUUGACGGGGGCCCGCCCAAGCGGGGGAGCAUGUGGUUUA